UCGGCGGGGACAAGAGUCACGUCAAGUGGUCGCCGCCGUAUCUGGAGUGCGAGGACGGGAGUUACAGACCCGGGUGGCUGGUCACUCUUUCCGCCGCCUUCUACGGGUUGCAGCCUAAUCUGGUCCCCGAAUUCAGGGGAGUCAUGAAAGUUGAUAUAAAUCUUCAGAAAGUGGACAUUGACCAAUGUUCAAGUGAUGGCUGGUUUUCAGGAACUCACAAAUGCCACCUUAACAGUUCAGAGUGCAUGCCGAUUAAAGGCCUGGGGUUUGUCCUGGGAGCCUACGAGUGCAUCUGCAAGGCGGGCUUCUAUCACCCUCGGGUCUUGGUGAACAACUUUCACAGUAAGUGUGCUUCGUUUCUGUGCAUGUGAGCGUACACACCUAACACAUACCACCGACCACCGU
This 405-nucleotide long non-coding RNA is filed under the name Fukomys damarensis (Damara mole-rat). Its description in RNAcentral is "lncRNA (ENSFDAG00000025949.1)". The record is from RNAcentral. Lineage: Eukaryota; Metazoa; Chordata; Mammalia; Rodentia; Bathyergidae.